This 424-nucleotide ribosomal RNA is filed under the name uncultured bacterium. RNAcentral's name for it is "bacterial SSU rRNA". It matches the Rfam family "Bacterial small subunit ribosomal RNA", at positions 89 to 509 of the family's 1533-position model. The record is from RNAcentral.
UGACGAGUGGCGAACGGGUGAGUAAUAUAUCGGAACGUGCCCUAGAGUGGGGGAUAACUAGUCGAAAGAUUAGCUAAUACCGCAUACGAUCUACGGAUGAAAGUGGGGGAUCGCAAGACCUCAUGCUCAUGGAGCGGCCGAUAUCUGAUUAGCUAGUUGGUAGGGUAAAAGCCUACCAAGGCAUCGAUCAGUAGCUGGUCUGAGAGGACGACCAGCCACACUGGGACUGAGACACGGCCCAGACUCCUACGGGAGGCAGCAGUGGGGAAUUUUGGACAAUGGGCGCAAGCCUGAUCCAGCAAUGCCGCGUGAGUGAAGAAGGCCUUCGGGUUGUAAAGCUCUUUUGUCAGGGAAGAAACGGACUGGGUUAAUACCUUGGUCUAAUGACGGUACCUGAAGAAUAAGCACCGGCUAACUACGUGCC